AAGUCGUAACAAGGUUUCCGUAGGUGAACCUGCGGAAGGAUCAUUAACGAAUUGAGUCGGUCAUUUAUGACUGAUUUUCUCUCUCACCCGUGCUCUUGGCCUAUUUUUUAGGCCGAGUAUUAUUUCUUCGUUCUAAAUCGUCUGAGAAUGUAAGCAUGUACAUGCAGUAAAAAAAUGAAAACUAUGAACAACGGAUCUCUAGGCUCUU
Molecule: unclassified non-coding RNA, 208 nt
Filed under: fungal sp.
Lineage: Eukaryota; Fungi
Description: partial contains small subunit ribosomal RNA, internal transcribed spacer 1, and 5.8S ribosomal RNA
Rfam family: Eukaryotic small subunit ribosomal RNA (bases 1-46)
Source: RNAcentral